Molecule: ribosomal RNA, 251 nt
Filed under: Escherichia coli
Lineage: Bacteria; Pseudomonadati; Pseudomonadota; Gammaproteobacteria; Enterobacterales; Enterobacteriaceae
Also listed under: 2 other names
Description: partial 23S ribosomal RNA
Rfam family: Bacterial large subunit ribosomal RNA
Source: RNAcentral
GGGUUGUGAGGUUAAGCGACUAAGCGUACACGGUGGAUGCCCUGGCAGUCAGAGGCGAUGAAGGACGUGCUAAUCUGCGAUAAGCGUCGGUAAGGUGAUAUGAACCGUUAUAACCGGCGAUUUCCGAAUGGGGAAACCCAGUGUGAUUCGUCACACUAUCAUUAACUGAAUCCAUAGGUUAAUGAGGCGAACCGGGGGAACUGAAACAUCUAAGUACCCCGAGGAAAAGAAAUCAACCGAGAUUCCCCCAG